Long non-coding RNA from Microplitis mediator, 511 nucleotides. RefSeq lists it as uncharacterized. The record is from RefSeq and is a predicted model, not a curated record. The transcript has 2 exons. Lineage: Eukaryota; Metazoa; Arthropoda; Insecta; Hymenoptera; Braconidae.
UCGACAAGAACUGGUCGCUCCAGGUUUUUCUCAGCGAUAACGAAUUAACUGCAGUAGGUCGUUCUCCUCACUCUUUUAACUAGUCCAGCAGGUGAGAGUCAAGAGUUAAGAGUUAACUCAUGCUAGUAAAAUCUGUAGAAAAAGAAAUUUGUUAACAGUGAAAUAAGUUAAAUACGUACGUAAGUGACUAAGUGAGUGAGUAAGUAUCAUUAUUGUAAAGAUGAUGGUACAAGGCGAGGUGACAUAUAAAGGUAUUCGUUUGGAAAUAUUGAAUACUUCUUGGAUUACAAAGCUGCUAUAUACAUGUAGCGUUGCUACAAUGAUAAGCGAUCGAUCAAUUUCGGUAAUCUACACCGAACAUCGAUUUUUCUGUUUUCCGUCUUUACCUCAUUCGUAAAGACAGAAUAAGUUAUACCGCUGAACUGCAUACACGCAUCUAAGCAUUUCUAUUGUAUUCUCAAUUUUACUGUGUUAAACUCGUUCGUUAAAUAAAAACAUUUAUUUAACAUAA